CGCCGGUGGCUCGGCGGUAUGGGCCGCUGAGGGAACUACCGCUCCCGGCGUGCCGUGCGGCGGGCGGGCGCGGGAUGUGCCGGGAGUUGUAGUCUGUGAGGGGAGGUGGCCUCCCCGCGAGGCUCAAGGGGCUGAGGGGAAGCGCGGCCCUCAUGGCCUGCGGAGGGGUUUUGGCGGCCUUUCUCUCGAAGCUGCAGGAGGAAGGGCGGAACCUGCGGGCAAUUGGGAAAGGAAGAGGGGCAAAUGGGACAAAUAGUCUCAAAUGCCCCAUAGCCACAUUUGAGGGCGGCUGUGGCUUGCUUCUGGGCUGCUGCCGGGUGAGGCUUGAGGCGUGGGAGCCGGCUCCUGGCUGCCAUCAGGUUUCCUGGCUUCAGUUCUGCUUUUCAGAGGGAAACACACAUUGAGACCCUUCAGCUCCCAUGCCAUCACCCCAAAACUACUUCACUCCUAUUUUGAUCACUGAUAAAGACAUUGAACUGCGUUAGCUCCUUUGAAGCCAUUAAAUAACCCAUUAGAAGAGAGUAGAAACAUGUUGGUGUAGCUGCUAAUUGGUUCGCAGAGCAUUUGAUACAG
This is a long non-coding RNA of Calidris pugnax (ruff), 573 nucleotides long. RefSeq lists it as uncharacterized. The transcript is spliced from 3 exons. Lineage: Eukaryota; Metazoa; Chordata; Aves; Charadriiformes; Scolopacidae. The record is from RefSeq and is a predicted model, not a curated record.